This 2929-nucleotide ribosomal RNA is filed under the name Escherichia coli. RNAcentral's name for it is "23S ribosomal RNA". It matches the Rfam family "Bacterial large subunit ribosomal RNA". Lineage: Bacteria; Pseudomonadati; Pseudomonadota; Gammaproteobacteria; Enterobacterales; Enterobacteriaceae. The record is from RNAcentral.
GGGUUGUGAGGUUAAGCGACUAAGCGUACACGGUGGAUGCCCUGGCAGUCAGAGGCGAUGAAGGACGUGCUAAUCUGCGAUAAGCGUCGGUAAGGUGAUAUGAACCGUUAUAACCGGCGAUUUCCGAAUGGGGAAACCCAGUGUGUUUCGACACACUAUCAUUAACUGAAUCCAUAGGUUAAUGAGGCGAACCGGGGGAACUGAAACAUCUAAGUACCCCGAGGAAAAGAAAUCAACCGAGAUUCCCCCAGUAGCGGCGAGCGAACGGGGAGCAGCCCAGAGCCUGAAUCAGUGUGUGUGUUAGUGGAAGCGUCUGGAAAGGCGCGCGAUACAGGGUGACAGCCCCGUACACAAAAAUGCACAUGCUGUGAGCUCGAUGAGUAGGGCGGGACACGUGGUAUCCUGUCUGAAUAUGGGGGGACCAUCCUCCAAGGCUAAAUACUCCUGACUGACCGAUAGUGAACCAGUACCGUGAGGGAAAGGCGAAAAGAACCCCGGCGAGGGGAGUGAAAAAGAACCUGAAACCGUGUACGUACAAGCAGUGGGAGCACGCUUAGGCGUGUGACUGCGUACCUUUUGUAUAAUGGGUCAGCGACUUAUAUUCUGUAGCAAGGUUAACCGAAUAGGGGAGCCGAAGGGAAACCGAGUCUUAACUGGGCGUUAAGUUGCAGGGUAUAGACCCGAAACCCGGUGAUCUAGCCAUGGGCAGGUUGAAGGUUGGGUAACACUAACUGGAGGACCGAACCGACUAAUGUUGAAAAAUUAGCGGAUGACUUGUGGCUGGGGGUGAAAGGCCAAUCAAACCGGGAGAUAGCUGGUUCUCCCCGAAAGCUAUUUAGGUAGCGCCUCGUGAACUCAUCUCCGGGGGUAGAGCACUGUUUCGGCAAGGGGGUCAUCCCGACUUACCAACCCGAUGCAAACUGCGAAUACCGGAGAAUGUUAUCACGGGAGACACACGGCGGGUGCUAACGUCCGUCGUGAAGAGGGAAACAACCCAGACCGCCAGCUAAGGUCCCAAAGUCAUGGUUAAGUGGGAAACGAUGUGGGAAGGCCCAGACAGCCAGGAUGUUGGCUUAGAAGCAGCCAUCAUUUAAAGAAAGCGUAAUAGCUCACUGGUCGAGUCGGCCUGCGCGGAAGAUGUAACGGGGCUAAACCAUGCACCGAAGCUGCGGCAGCGACACUAUGUGUUGUUGGGUAGGGGAGCGUUCUGUAAGCCUGUGAAGGUGUACUGUGAGGUAUGCUGGAGGUAUCAGAAGUGCGAAUGCUGACAUAAGUAACGAUAAAGCGGGUGAAAAGCCCGCUCGCCGGAAGACCAAGGGUUCCUGUCCAACGUUAAUCGGGGCAGGGUGAGUCGACCCCUAAGGCGAGGCCGAAAGGCGUAGUCGAUGGGAAACAGGUUAAUAUUCCUGUACUUGGUGUUACUGCGAAGGGGGGACGGAGAAGGCUAUGUUGGCCGGGCGACGGUUGUCCCGGUUUAAGCGUGUAGGCUGGUUUUCCAGGCAAAUCCGGAAAAUCAAGGCUGAGGCGUGAUGACGAGGCACUACGGUGCUGAAGCAACAAAUGCCCUGCUUCCAGGAAAAGCCUCUAAGCAUCAGGUAACAUCAAAUCGUACCCCAAACCGACACAGGUGGUCAGGUAGAGAAUACCAAGGCGCUUGAGAGAACUCGGGUGAAGGAACUAGGCAAAAUGGUGCCGUAACUUCGGGAGAAGGCACGCUGAUAUGUAGGUGAGGUCCCUCGCGGAUGGAGCUGAAAUCAGUCGAAGAUACCAGCUGGCUGCAACUGUUUAUUAAAAACACAGCACUGUGCAAACACGAAAGUGGACGUAUACGGUGUGACGCCUGCCCGGUGCCGGAAGGUUAAUUGAUGGGGUUAGCGCAAGCGAAGCUCUUGAUCGAAGCCCCGGUAAACGGCGGCCGUAACUAUAACGGUCCUAAGGUAGCGAAAUUCCUUGUCGGGUAAGUUCCGACCUGCACGAAUGGCGUAAUGAUGGCCAGGCUGUCUCCACCCGAGACUCAGUGAAAUUGAACUCGCUGUGAAGAUGCAGUGUACCCGCGGCAAGACGGAAAGACCCCGUGAACCUUUACUAUAGCUUGACACUGAACAUUGAGCCUUGAUGUGUAGGAUAGGUGGGAGGCUUAGAAGUGUGGACGCCAGUCUGCAUGGAGCCGACCUUGAAAUACCACCCUUUAAUGUUUGAUGUUCUAACGUUGACCCGUAAUCCGGGUUGCGGACAGUGUCUGGUGGGUAGUUUGACUGGGGCGGUCUCCUCCUAAAGAGUAACGGAGGAGCACGAAGGUUGGCUAAUCCUGGUCGGACAUCAGGAGGUUAGUGCAAUGGCAUAAGCCAGCUUGACUGCGAGCGUGACGGCGCGAGCAGGUGCGAAAGCAGGUCAUAGUGAUCCGGUGGUUCUGAAUGGAAGGGCCAUCGCUCAACGGAUAAAAGGUACUCCGGGGAUAACAGGCUGAUACCGCCCAAGAGUUCAUAUCGACGGCGGUGUUUGGCACCUCGAUGUCGGCUCAUCACAUCCUGGGGCUGAAGUAGGUCCCAAGGGUAUGGCUGUUCGCCAUUUAAAGUGGUACGCGAGCUGGGUUUAGAACGUCGUGAGACAGUUCGGUCCCUAUCUGCCGUGGGCGCUGGAGAACUGAGGGGGGCUGCUCCUAGUACGAGAGGACCGGAGUGGACGCAUCACUGGUGUUCGGGUUGUCAUGCCAAUGGCACUGCCCGGUAGCUAAAUGCGGAAGAGAUAAGUGCUGAAAGCAUCUAAGCACGAAACUUGCCCCGAGAUGAGUUCUCCCUGACCCUUUAAGGGUCCUGAAGGAACGUUGAAGACGACGACGUUGAUAGGCCGGGUGUGUAAGCGCAGCGAUGCGUUGAGCUAACCGGUACUAAUGAACCGUGAGGCUUAACCUUACAACGCCGAAGCUGUU